UUCGAAGUCGUUUAUAUAUCUCAGGAGUUCUUCUACUAAAAAAAACUCAUGGCUUCCUCUACUUCUCCUAAAAUUGUCUCUCUCUGCUGCUCCAGUUACUCAAGCUUUGACUCUCUCCGGCUUGGUCGUACCACUCAAUUCAUUGUUGGCCGUCUCCUCCGCUUCUGGGAUUCCCGCAACAUUAAAAGAAAGGCGGAUCCCUGAAAACUCAGCGCAUUGUUUCCCAUUUUCAUUUUGACGAUCAUGGCUAUUCCAGUGGUGCCUUACACCAUGGUCAAGUUAAGCCGUGCUGUCUCCAAGAAACAAAGGACCAUUCGUUGUCAAUGUCUCGAGUGUGACAGCUCUGGGGAAUUUAAGAGAUCCUUAUUUAAAAAGGUGCACAUUGCCCAGAGAGGUGCCAUUACACCAUUGAUUAAGAUGCUUCAGUCAUCAGAUGAGCAGGUCGUGGAAAUGUCAGCUUUUGCUCUUGGUCGAUUGGCUCAGGCACUUGUGUUUUCCUGAAUCUGGUUCUUUAUGGAUGAUUAUUAUUAAAUCAGACCUUUUAUGUGAUAAGAACAAAAGUUGCAAUUCUUUUUUUGCUUGGAACAUAUCUUAAUACGCUGGUAUAUUCUCAAUGCAAUAUUUUAAAUGUUGCAGGACACACACAAUCAAGCUGGCAUCGGACAAAGAGGAGGCAUCAUCUCACUACUAAAUCUUCUUGAUGUGAAUACUGGAUCUGUCCAACACAAUAUUGCAUUUGCUUAGGCCUUGCAGAUAACGAGGAAAAUCUAGCAGAUUUCAUUAAGGCUGGAGGUAUCCAAAGGCUUCAAGAUGACAACUUCACCGUUCAACCGACUAGGGAUUGUGUGGUGAGGACAUUGAAGAGGCUAGAUAACAAGAUUCAUGGGCCUGUGAGAAUCUAUUUCUGUUAGACCUUCUGGUUGUUAGUUAAGUAUAGCCUUGGUUUUAGUCCCCUAAUGCCAAACCCUUC
This is a long non-coding RNA of Brassica napus (rape), 970 nucleotides long. RefSeq lists it as uncharacterized. The record is from RefSeq and is a predicted model, not a curated record. NCBI's taxonomy places the organism in Eukaryota, Viridiplantae, Streptophyta, Magnoliopsida, Brassicales, Brassicaceae. The transcript has 5 exons.